This 467-nucleotide ribosomal RNA is filed under the name uncultured bacterium. RNAcentral describes it as "partial 16S ribosomal RNA". It matches the Rfam family "Bacterial small subunit ribosomal RNA", at positions 28 to 507 of the family's 1533-position model. The record is from RNAcentral.
GACGAACGCUGGCGGCGUGCUUAACACAUGCAAGUCGAACGGAAAGGCCUCUUUCGGGGGGUACUCGAGUGGCGAACGGGUGAGUAACACGUGAGUAACCUGCCCUUGACUUUGGGAUAACUUCAGGAAACUGGGGCUAAUACCGGAUAGGAGCUCCUGCUGCAUGGUGGGGGUUGGAAAGUUUCGGCGGUUGGGGAUGGACUCGCGGCUUAUCAGCUUGUUGGUGGGGUAGUGGCUUACCAAGGCCUUGACGGGUAGCCGGCCUGAGAGGGUGACCGGCCACAUUGAGACUGAGAUACGGCCCCGACUCCUACGGGAGGCAGCAGUGGGGAAUAUUGCACAAUGGGUGGAAGCCUGAUGCAGCAACGCCGUGUGCGGGAUGACGGCCUUCGGGUUGUAAACCGCUUUCGCUCAUGACGAAGCUUUGUGUGACGGUAGUGGGUAAAGAAGCACCGGCUAACUACGUG